AACAUGUAGCUCUUACCUGGAGAAGACAAGGACUUAGUUUGGUGUUGUUUCAGUUACCCGGUCUGCUUUAAUAGAAGCAUUCUUGACCAUGGGGAGUUUUACGUUACGUUGGCUAUGAUUUAUGGACUUGCUAGCAUAGAUCUAAGAGGGCUGUGCAAUAACCAUAGUGAUAUUACUAAGAAGCACUAAACUAUUUUAACUAGAUUAAUUAUCAUAAUUUGUAUGCAUUUUACAGAGACUAAAACUUUCUUAGGAUCAAUAUAAUUCUAUUCUGAGGUUUUCAAGCGAAGAGAUGAGUUUCCUACACAGUUAUACUUAGAGGCCAUGACAAUAUGUGACAAAACCCCGGCUUAUUUCAUAGGCUAAGAUAAUCCCUUGUCUAACUGUGUUUAUGUCUUUCUUAUUUCAAUAAUUCCGACAUUAAAAUAUGCAAUAGUAGCUGGUUGAGUAUUAUGUAUCAUAAUUUAAAAAUAUAUUGACCAGAAAUCCCUAUUCAGUAAAAUGAUAAAGGUAGGAGAUCUUCCAAAGUUGUAUUUUGUUUGUUUGUCCUGGUCUGCAUCCUCCUUUGCAUGUGCACUAUAUAAAUAAGACGUUAGGCACAGGGUGUCCAUCCUGCCCCAGGAAACCAAGUCACUUUAUAGAGACCUUACAUAGCUGCCUUUUUUUCUUUCUGAGUUUUAUUGUAGUGAAUUAGAUUUGUGUGUACUUUUAUGUUUAUGUUUUAAAUGAUUUGUUAUUUUCUGUAUUCUAAGUUUUCAAAUUAAAAUAUGGAAAAUUAUUGUUAGUUACCAACAUUGAUUUUGCUGCUAAACAUUACCCUUGAAUUUUUUAACACAGAAAAAUAAAUGCCUCCAAAAUUUUGUCAAUUUUGU
Molecule: long non-coding RNA, 872 nt
Filed under: Rattus norvegicus (Norway rat)
Lineage: Eukaryota; Metazoa; Chordata; Mammalia; Rodentia; Muridae
Description: long non-coding RNA NONRATT009699
Source: RNAcentral